UUCAAGCCGUUUGCCGUAACUAUGCCCCUAUUUAUUUCAUUAUUUAUUCAGCAGUCAAUACAUUUAUUUUUGUUUUGACUUUUUAGGUCAUGAGAGUCUCCGGAGAGCGAAUUGCACCCCAGAUGCCCACGCACUUGAUGGAGGAAAUAGCUCGGUCCGAAAGUAAGGACCCCGAACUCGGUUGAGGCAGAAGAAAAAUCUGUAAACAAAGAUCAGGGCGUUACCAAGUGAGUCUAAUGGAAAACAAUGGAAUCUGGAUCGGUCAGGCGAAGAAAGAUGAUGUCAUGGUCCCAUAUCAAAACUGUACCAUUUUAUGCGACUUGUACUUGAGUGAAGAAUUCCGGUCUCUUCAAGUGCAUUAAUUGGCGGCCACAAGUAAUAAACGAACUGCUUCCCGUACAUACAACACAUGGCUAACCUUUAUUUCUCCUGCCGCGCUGCAGAAAUAAAGGUAAAAUCUAAACUGGUCAUCAAGGAAAUGGAAGCCACCAGGUAAUUCAUCUAAACACAGAUCACGAUGUCGCAAUAGAAUGACACACAAGCGAGUGAACACCUAAAAUCGAAGAAAUAGAUGAAACAUUUUGGAAAAAAAUAAAAAAUGACAGGCAGUAACUGAAGGGGGAAUCUGGGAAACACAGAGGAGUCUUCGAGGAAGGGAGCAGGCAUGCAAGGCCAUGGAAAACCGCCUAAAAACCGUGCUUGAAAUGAACGACUUCAUAUGGCCAGAGAGGGCAGAAAGAGAACGAGGUAUGUGACUCGAAGUGGGGUUGGUGAAUGUCCGUGGCACUAUUAUAGGGAUUAUACUGAAAUUGAAUACACUGGAAAAAGAAAAAACAAAAGAGAAAUUCAGGCAACUCGAAGGGUGGAAAACUUGGAAAGUACAAAGGAGUACAAAGUGAGCGGACAACGCCUAGGAAAACCGUUAAGGCCGCGUAUUGAAAUAUACGACUUAAUGAUAAUUAUGACGAGUGAAAUUGUAAAGAGAACGAGACACAUAACUCAAAUCGUGAUUGUGAACCUUCAAGGCAAAAUUGAAAGGAAUCUAUUGGAAUGGAUUACAUUUGAGAAAGAAAAUCAGGGUACAGGAAGGGAGAAAAACCGGGAAAGUAAAGAGUAGAUUUUGGGAGAGGAGUCAUAUAACUGAAAUCAUGAUCUUGAACGUUUGAGGCACGAUCAAAGGAAAAAGCACUGGGAAGUAGUAGAAGACACCUCAGUCUCGCGGAUAAGCAAGGGAGAAGGGAGUAGGGUCGUAAAGAGAAUCACGCAUGUUUGAAUAUCUUAGGGGAGAGCAGCAAACAAGGAAACCACAGGGUAUCAACGAGAAACCGUGUUAUCACAAAGGUACUGGUGGACAAUUUUGAAAAGCAUGGACUCGCGCCAACUUAGCCACAACACGAACACUUCGUGAUCGGCGUUUUUGACGUGUUUCAUGGAGCAGUCCUUAUUUAUCGCCUGGAAGGAUUGCGGGGUGGGGGAAUCACUUGGUUUUCAGGAGCAAGGGAGGAGGUAUUAGUCGUCGCCAGCAAAGUAUAAAGGGGAGGGGGACUACAGGAAAUUGACUGUCAAUGAGGGUAGCCCUAUGGGGAGAUCAGAUAAAUUUUAAUUUGACACAAUCAAAAUC
This 1621-nucleotide long non-coding RNA is filed under the name Pocillopora damicornis (cauliflower coral). RNAcentral describes it as "uncharacterized LOC113666518". The record is from RNAcentral. Lineage: Eukaryota; Metazoa; Cnidaria; Anthozoa; Scleractinia; Pocilloporidae.